UAAUCAGAUUACAGUCAACAAUGGUAACAACUUUGAUAAGGCGCUCAUAGAGUUUUACAUGAAAAAUAAAGCUAGGAAGCUAAAACGUAAAAUCAUGGCAACAAAAUCACGUGAUCCAUCUACUCCCUAUCACCAGCCUAAGAAGGCUAGGAUAGAACAUGCAGAGACCACAG
Long non-coding RNA from Lolium rigidum, 173 nucleotides. RefSeq lists it as uncharacterized. Lineage: Eukaryota; Viridiplantae; Streptophyta; Magnoliopsida; Poales; Poaceae. The record is from RefSeq and is a predicted model, not a curated record. The transcript has 3 exons.